This is a long non-coding RNA of Xenopus tropicalis (tropical clawed frog), 867 nucleotides long. RefSeq lists it as uncharacterized. The transcript is spliced from 2 exons. Lineage: Eukaryota; Metazoa; Chordata; Amphibia; Anura; Pipidae. The record is from RefSeq and is a predicted model, not a curated record.
CUGCUGAUAUCGGUCCUUUAGACCGAUUCGCCAACUUAUGAUCGGGGACCACAUCGGCUCAUUGAUACGGUCCCUGAACCGAUUGCACCUAUUACUGGCAUUCUAAUUUGAUCAUUUGGCCCCAAGGCCAAACAACCGAAUCGGUGGGGGAAAUCGGGAGGAGAUCCGCUCACUUGGCGACCUCUCCAGGCAAGCGUAUCUUUACGUGUAUGGCCACCUUAAGUGACAAUGCAAGUGUGCAUUAUUGUGCAGUAAGGGGCUGUGGGACGUGGCUAGCUGUGGCUGCUGCAUUACAAGAACCUACAAAUCAUCACUAUCUGAGACAGCCCUGUGGACCUCCACGUUACCAGGUCUUUUCUACCCUCCUUCAGCAAUAAAACAAGAACACACAUCACAAUGAAGUUUUUGCCAAAGUCAAAGGGAAUCAGACAGAGGCACUUUUGCCAAGAAGCACCCUGAAGUUAAAAGCGGCUACAAAAAGCAAUUGGAAUUUAGGCUUUGCUAGUGCAGAGACUACCACUGUGCUCUCUGCACUUACAAUGUGGCUCCUCUCUGCCCCCUCCAACAUGAAAAACCUUAGCAUGGAGGAGGGGGGGGGGCGGCAUCCUAUAGGCUGCCUCAUGGACGGAAUGCCCCUGGAAUCAGAUAUUUGUUUUCUAACAGCGGAUCUGUAAAUGCUACCUGCUGAUUGGUUGCUCUGGGUUGUUAGACAAGUGGCAAACUUAAGACCAUUUAUUACCCCUUAAAAGGCUUAAAGGAAAUUUAUCUUAAAAUGCAACAGAAGGAAAGCAGAAAUAUUGGUCUAAAUGUAUUUCUCACUGCCAGUGAUUUGCAUUAUAUACAAUAAAUCGUUUUUUUGGUCUAAAA